RNAcentral lists this non-coding RNA (364 nucleotides) under Paucilactobacillus wasatchensis. RNAcentral describes it as "Lactobacillus wasatchensis T-box sequence". It matches the Rfam family "T-box leader". Rfam says of the family: Uncharged tRNA acts as the effector for transcription antitermination of genes in the T-box leader family. T-boxes are found upstream of many aminoacyl-tRNA synthetase genes and some amino acid biosynthetic genes usually in Gram-positive bacteria. The anticodon of a specific tRNA base pairs to a specifier sequence within the T-box motif, and the NCCA acceptor tail of the tRNA base pairs to a conserved bulge in the T-box antiterminator hairpin. Lineage: Bacteria; Bacillati; Bacillota; Bacilli; Lactobacillales; Lactobacillaceae. The record is from RNAcentral.
UAAAAAACAGUGAACAGACUAGUAGAGUAGUUAUCGGUGAUAGAAAGCUCUUGUUGAUGGAAAUGGAGCCCAGUAAUUAUUUGAAUCACAUCUGUGAGUUGAUUUUCUGAAUAUUAGUAGGAAAGUCCGGGAUGCCCGUUACAGCUACAAGUUUAAUUAAUAAACUUGUUGAGACUGAGCUUGUGAGAGUUUAGUGCACAUGAGGUGGAACCGCGGGAACGCCCUCAAAGUCAUUAUUGACUUUGAGGGCGUUUUAUAUUUACCAAGGUGUAGCCUUAACAAAAUUUAUUAGUUAAACUUAUUGAGGUAGCUACUGUGAGGUAACUACGAAGCAGAGGUGGUACCACGACUAGACGUCCUCUUA